RNAcentral lists this ribosomal RNA (253 nucleotides) under uncultured bacterium. Its description in RNAcentral is "partial 16S ribosomal RNA". It matches the Rfam family "Bacterial small subunit ribosomal RNA", at positions 524 to 776 of the family's 1533-position model. The record is from RNAcentral.
UACGUAGGGGGCAAGCGUUGUCCGGAAUCAUUGGGCGUAAAGAGCGUGUAGGCGGCCAGAUAAGUCCGCUGUGAAAUCUCGAGGCUCAACUUCGAGCUGUCGGUGGAAACUGUCUGGCUAGAGUCCGGAAGAGGAGAAUGGAAUUCCUGGUGUAGCGGUGAAAUGCGCAGAUAUCAGGAGGAACACCGAUGGCGAAGGCAGCUCUCUGGGCCUGUUCUGACGCUGAGGAGCGAAAGCUGGGGGAGCGAACAGG